GCCGAAGUGGCUCAGUUGGUAGAGCAGCUCAUUCGUAACGAGCAGGUCGUGGGUUCGAGUCCCAUCUUCGGCUCCA
This 76-nucleotide transfer RNA is filed under the name Candidatus Saccharimonadota bacterium. RNAcentral describes it as "tRNA-Thr". It matches the Rfam family "tRNA". Rfam says of the family: Transfer RNA (tRNA) molecules are approximately 80 nucleotides in length. Their secondary structure includes four short double-helical elements and three loops (D, anti-codon, and T loops). Further hydrogen bonds mediate the characteristic L-shaped molecular structure. tRNAs have two regions of fundamental functional importance: the anti-codon, which is responsible for specific mRNA codon recognition, and the 3' end, to which the tRNAs corresponding amino acid is attached (by aminoacyl-tRNA synthetases). tRNAs cope with the degeneracy of the genetic code in two manners: having more than one tRNA (with a specific anti-codon) for a particular amino acid; and 'wobble' base-pairing, i.e. permitting non-standard base-pairing at the 3rd anti-codon position. RNAcentral also lists the same sequence under 2 other names. Lineage: Bacteria; Candidatus Saccharimonadota. The record is from RNAcentral.